Molecule: small RNA, 590 nt
Filed under: Pan troglodytes (chimpanzee)
Lineage: Eukaryota; Metazoa; Chordata; Mammalia; Primates; Hominidae
Description: processed transcript
Source: RNAcentral
UUUAUUUCAAGUUUCUCUGGGAUAGGGGGGUAGUUGUCAACAAUAUUACCAAAGGAUGCAAGAUGGUGGCCAUGGGGCUUAUGUAACGUACUGUAUUAACAGUUAACUGAGUUGGGAGACAAAUAUCCUAGUUCUCCUGGAGAAUUGGGAGAUGGGUAGCCCCAGUCUCAGCUGUGAAGUAAGCCUGUCUCCAGUCCACCCAGCCCCCUGAGAAGGAAGGAGGUUUGGAUUCCUGGGAUUGAUGAGUUAUUUGCCCGUGGGUGUUGAAAGGAAGAGAGGAGGGAACCAGAAUGCAGAUUUCAGAGACAACUGUCUGAACCCUGCCACCCCUUCCCUCCUCAGCCAGGAGUUCCUGGAGAUAGUCGCCCCAGUUACCAUCGGCAAAUGUCAGAACCUAUUGUCCCUGCAGCUCCCCCGCCCCCUCAGGGAUUCAAACAAGAAUACCAUGACCCACUCUAUGAACAUGGGGUCCCGGGCAUGCCAGGGCCCCCAGCACACGGGUUCCAGUCACCAAUGGGAAUCAAGCAGGAGCCUCGGGAUUACUGCGUCGAUUCAGAAGUGCCUAACUGCCAGUCAUCCUACAUGAGAGG